ACGCUCGACACCUACGAGGAGGCAGCAGGUGGGGAAUAUUGCACAAGUGGGGGAAACCCUGAUGCAGCGACGCCGCGUGAGCGAAGAAGUAUUUCGGUAUGUAAAGCUCUAUCAGCAGGGAAGAAACUGACGGUACCUGACUAAGAAGCACCGGCUAAAUACGUGCCUGCAGCCGCGGUAAUCUGAGCGGGCUGGCAAGGC
Molecule: ribosomal RNA, 201 nt
Filed under: uncultured bacterium
Lineage: Bacteria
Description: partial 16S ribosomal RNA
Rfam family: Bacterial small subunit ribosomal RNA
Source: RNAcentral